AACGUAGGGGGCGAGCGUUGUCCGGAAUUACUGGGCGUAAAGGGCGCGUAGGCGGUUAUCCAAGUCAGGGGUGAAAACUCUGGGCUCAACUCAGAGCCUGCCUCUGAAACUGGGUGACUUGAGGGCAGGAGAGGGGAGUGGAAUUCCCAGUGUAGCGGUGAAAUGCGUAGAUAUUGGGAGGAACACCAGUGGCGAAGGCGACUCUCUGGCCUGUUACUGACGCUGAGGCGCGAAAGCGUGGGGAGCAAACGGGAUUAGAUACCCCGGUAGUCCACGCCGUAAACGAUGGGUGCUAGGUGUAGGAGGUAUCGACCCCUUCUGUGCCGUAGCUAACGCAAUAAGCACCCCGCCUGGGGAGUACGGCCGCAAGGUUGAA
This 376-nucleotide ribosomal RNA is filed under the name uncultured Bacillota bacterium. Its description in RNAcentral is "bacterial SSU rRNA". It matches the Rfam family "Bacterial small subunit ribosomal RNA", at positions 524 to 898 of the family's 1533-position model. The record is from RNAcentral. Lineage: Bacteria; Bacillati; Bacillota.